CUCUCUUCCCUCCUCCUGUCCUCCGCACGCCCUAGGGACCGUGGCGCCAGAUCGAGGUAAGGGCCCUGCCUCCUCCAACCGCGCGCAAGCAGGCCAAGCCGAUGCCUGCCCCUCCCUCUCUUCCCCUUCUCUCUCUAAUCUCUCUCACACGUUUUCUUCAGGGAGCCCGGCAACGAAGGUCGCCGCCUCUCCGUCUUAAUCCGUCGGCUGCUAGAUCCGACUGCGUGGCCCGCUGGUGCCCUCCAGGGACCCCCCCCCCCCGGCCGCCCCCCGCGUCGGUGAGGACAGCCAUGGAUGGGCCCCCUGGAGCUCUUCUGCCGUCGCCCGAUCUGGCCGCCCGCCCAGUAGCCGGUCCGUGCUCCGGAUCCGGCCAACAGCCUCGCCUCCGACUCGAUUCAGACGCCCACAGCCUUCCUCCGCCACCUGCGCCAUGCAUGAUGCAUGCCCCCAGCUCGCAAGGAGGCCAGGCACCUCGUCCAACUGAUGCACCGGCGGCGCGUAUCGGCGUGGGGGUGGGCCGGCGACACACAACGGCAUAUUUCUUUUUCUCUCUUGUCAGUACCACUUCGGGUUGACUUAUAAUAGUACUGCGGGUUGAAUACCCAAAACAACAGGGUUUUUUUGUAAAAAUGCCGACGACGUACGACCAGAAGCGUUCCGUGCUUUAUUAGUAGGUAGAGAUAGAGAUUUAUACUGGAUUUACUUUUUGGUUUCGUUUCAAUGGAAUGAAGACGGAGGAGACCCUGUUGGUCAGAAAAGAAA
Long non-coding RNA from Triticum aestivum (bread wheat), 762 nucleotides. RefSeq lists it as uncharacterized. The transcript has 2 exons. Lineage: Eukaryota; Viridiplantae; Streptophyta; Magnoliopsida; Poales; Poaceae. The record is from RefSeq and is a predicted model, not a curated record.